CUGGCAGGCAGCGGCUGCAAUGAGCUGGCUCGUGUGAGGAGCUCAGAAAAGAGAGCUCCUCACUGACGGAGCAAAAUGCAAAUGGCAGCAUCAGCUGGCCCAGGGCUGGCACACCAGGGAAGGGGUCCCUGUCCCAGCUGGGGUCCAUGUGUGCACAUACAGGCUGUUUGAUUCAGGACGCUGCACCGUUGGGAACAGGAAGGAUGCACCCAGGCUCCUUGUCUGCUCAACCUGGAUCUCGGGCUCCUUUCCUACUCAGGUGCUCACCGUGGUCCCAUGGAUAAAACAAGGGGAGCCCCCAGGGCCGUGAGCCUCUUCCUGAGAGGUGCUCCCAAACAUUCAGCCACUGCCUCCAUCCUUCCAGCCACAGCAGUGGUUUCCACAGGCCUUUCUUCCCUAAUCAGCAGGUGCGUGCUGGUAGUGCCCCAGCUCUGCUUUGCAGCGUAUGAUGAAUGGAUGAACUCGGAGGAAGAUGAUUUCUGGAAUGAGAAUGGAUUUUUCAAAAUGAAAAAUCUUUGCCACGAGUCCAUCGGUCACUGUUAG
This 543-nucleotide long non-coding RNA is filed under the name Numida meleagris (helmeted guineafowl). RNAcentral's name for it is "lncRNA (ENSNMEG00000014233.1)". Lineage: Eukaryota; Metazoa; Chordata; Aves; Galliformes; Numididae. The record is from RNAcentral.